GCAGAUCCAUUUUCUGCCACCGAAUACAUUAGCAUGGGAUAAUGGAAUAGGACCCUGUCCUCCUAUUUUCAGUUGGUUUUGGCAGCGCGAGGACUAGGGUAAUGAUUAAUAGGGAUAGUUGGGGGCAUUAAUAUUUAAUUGUCAGAGGUGAAAUUCUUGGAUUUAUGAAAGAUUAACUUCUGCGAAAGCAUCUGCCAAGGAUGUUUUCAUUAAUCAAGAACGAAAGUUAGGGGAUCGAAGACGAUCAGAUACCGUCGUAGUCUUAACCAUAAACGAUGCCGACCAGCGAUUAGGAGACGUUGAAUACAAAACACCACCAUCGGCGCGGUCGUCCUUGGCGUCUCGGUUUCGGGGGGGGCGCGGGGGCGGCUUAGCCCGGUGGCACCGGUGAAUGACUCCCCUAGCGCU
RNAcentral lists this ribosomal RNA (408 nucleotides) under Acanthamoeba sp. Its description in RNAcentral is "SSU rRNA". The stretch from base 1 to 351 matches the Rfam family "Eukaryotic small subunit ribosomal RNA", at positions 780 to 1116 of the family's 1831-position model. The record is from RNAcentral. Lineage: Eukaryota; Discosea; Longamoebia; Acanthamoebidae.